This 439-nucleotide ribosomal RNA is filed under the name uncultured bacterium. RNAcentral's name for it is "partial 16S ribosomal RNA". It matches the Rfam family "Bacterial small subunit ribosomal RNA", at positions 339 to 795 of the family's 1533-position model. The record is from RNAcentral.
CUACGGGUCGCUCCAGUGAGGAAUAUUGCACAAUGGGGGGAACCCUGAUGCAGCAACGCCGCGUGGAGGAUGACGCAUUUCGGUGUGUAAACUCCUUUUAUAUGUCAAGAAAGUGACGGUAGCAUAUGAAUAAGCACCGGCUAACUCCGUGCCAGCAGCCGCGGUAAUACGGAGGGUGCAAGCGUUACUCGGAAUCACUGGGCGUAAAGGACGCGUAGGCGGGUUGGAAAGUCAGGUGUGAAAUCCUACAGCUUAACUGUAGAACUGCACUUGAAACUUCUAAUCUAGAGUAUGGGAGGGGGGGAUGGAAUUAGUGGUGUAGGGGUAAAAUCCGUAGAUAUCACUAGGAAUACCUAAAGCGAAGGCGAUCUCCUGGAACAUUACUGACGCUAAGGCGUGAAAGCGUGGGGAGCAAACAGGAUUAGAUACCCGCGUAGUC